This 212-nucleotide small RNA is filed under the name Drosophila guanche. Lineage: Eukaryota; Metazoa; Arthropoda; Insecta; Diptera; Drosophilidae. The record is from RNAcentral.
CCGCUACAGCAGCAGCAGCGUGGGUAUGAUAGCUACCUCCGGGUCGGACCCAUCGAGCAAUGCCGCUGCUGCUGCUGCCAUGGUUGCCGCUGCGACAGCUGCUGGGCUGGCAUCCAACAACACAAGUGCCUCCUCCACAAGUGGAGCAUCUACAUCCGCAGCGGCGGCAGCAGCGGCGGCUGCAGCAGUGGCAGCUGCAGCCGGUGGAUCGG